GCUUACGACCAUAUCACGUUGAAUACACGCCAUCCCGUCCGAUCUGGCAAGUUAAGCAACGUUGAGUC
This 68-nucleotide ribosomal RNA is filed under the name Caenorhabditis japonica. The record is from RNAcentral. Lineage: Eukaryota; Metazoa; Nematoda; Chromadorea; Rhabditida; Rhabditidae.